UUGAUUAAUUAGAUAGGCCAGAGGGAUCGUAAUUUUUGUAGAGUUUUGUUAGAUAAUUUUUAGAUAGGUAUCAAUUGAGUGUUUGCGAGGAUGCUGCACAGUUAGGAGUGGGGCUAUGUAGAAUAAGUAGUUAUUUUUAGAAUGUAGAUACCUAAUGUAUAGUGUAAACAAGAAUAGAUAAUUGUUGAAAAGCUGGUUCAGCAGGUAAAAUGGAUGAAUAGUCAGGAAAAGUAGUUAUCAUCUGUAGUAUAGGAGUUGGUAUCUCGGGGUAGUAUAAGAAAGAUGGGAGAGGGGAAGAAAAUACUAGACUGUGAGAGUUGUGAGUCGAGGGCCAGACUGUGAGAGUUGUAAGCCGAGGGCCAGACUGUGAGAGUUGUGAGCUGAGGGCUAGAUUGCGAUAGUACUGAGCUGGGAAUAAGCUUGGUACUAUCUCUUCUUCUUAGUUUUCUUGUUUCUUUUGUGUUAGUAUUGAUUCUAAUAAAGAAAAUCGAUUUAAUGAAUUAAUGUUUGAUUUACGAAGUUAUUUAUGGAUCAUUGUUUAUCAAUUGUUGUGAAAGAUUGAGGACGUAUGGAAGUUUCCAGUCACUGUUUAUCACAAGGUUAUAAGUUUAGUGGAGAAGAAUUAUAAUCGAAGGAAUUGUCUUGAUUAGAUUCUGUAGAUUGGAAGUUGUUCAUUCCAUGGUUUGGGAUAUGCUGAUGUGUUCAUGAAUUACACAGGGUACUGAAAUCGUUGUCGUGGAUGUUAUUGUAUUGAUAUGAGAGAGUGGACAGUAGGAGGAAAAAUUAAGUGUUCUUUGGUAUAAUAAGCAUUCAGCAGUAGCGGUUAAUUGCGUGACCCUAACAAUUGGAGCUCA
Molecule: long non-coding RNA, 854 nt
Filed under: Physcomitrium patens
Lineage: Eukaryota; Viridiplantae; Streptophyta; Bryopsida; Funariales; Funariaceae
Description: long non-coding RNA (PPAT_LNC004715)
Source: RNAcentral